Molecule: ribosomal RNA, 301 nt
Filed under: uncultured bacterium
Lineage: Bacteria
Description: partial 16S ribosomal RNA
Rfam family: Bacterial small subunit ribosomal RNA
Source: RNAcentral
CAGUCGCCGCGGUAAUACGUAGGGUGCGAGCGUUAAUCGGAAUUACUGGGCGUAAAGCGUGCGCAGGCGGUUGUGUAAGACAGGUGUGAAAUCCCCGGGCUUAACCUGGGAACUGCGCUUGUGACUGCACAGCUAGAGUAUGGCAGAGGGGGGUGGAAUUCCACGUGUAGCAGUGAAAUGCGUAGAGAUGUGGAGGAACACCGAUGGCGAAGGCAGCCCCCUGGGCAAAUACUGACGCUCAUGCACGAAAGCGUGGGGAGCAAACAGGAUUAGAUACCCGCGUAGUCCCUGUCUCUUAUAC